AUGUAAGAAUUUAAAGGUCGAACAGACCUAUUUUUUAAGCGGCUACACCUAAUUAUAAUCUUAAUCCAACAUCGAGGUCGCAAGCCUCCCUGUGAAUAUGAACUCUAAAGGAAGAUUACGCUGUUAUCCCUAAGGUAACUUAUUCUAAUAAUCAGUAAAACUGGAUCUAUUUUUCAUAUAUCAAUGUUAUAUAAAUAAAAAAGUUAAUUAUAUAUUUUUGUCACCCCAACAAAAUAUUUUAUUAAAUAAUAAAUAAUAAUUUAUCAAGAAUUUAUUAAAUAAUCAAAUAUAAAGCUCUAUAGGGUCUUCUCGUCUUCCAAUAAUAUUUCAGCUUUUUGACUGAAAAAGUAAAUUUUAAUAUCAAAUUAAAUGAGACAGUAAGUACUUCGUUAAACCCUUCAUUCCAGCCCUCUAUUAAAAGACUAAUGAUUAUGCUACCUUUGCACGGCCAAUAUACCGCGGCCGUUAAAAUAUUUCACUGGGCAGGUCAGACUUCUUAUUCUUCCAAGAAGACAUGUUUUUGUUAAACAGGCGAGCACUUAUUUUGCCGAGUUCCUUAUUUAAUCAUCUCUUAUAAUAAAUUUUAAACAAACAAUUAUACUAAUUUAAUCAUUAUUACUAAAAAUUUAUAAUUAAAUUUUAAAUUUUAAUAAUUUCCUAAAUAAAAGUAAAUCAAUUAAUUUUAAUUUAAACUAUAACGUACUUUCUAAUGAUAGAUGUUUUCAACCCUACAUUAAUUAAAAUAUAAAUAACAUUUUAGAAAUUAAUUUAGAGCUUAUCCCCUAAAUUAUAACAUUUAUCCAAAAAUUUAUUCAAAAAUUAAUAAAUUAAAGUAUAAAAUUAAAUUAAAUUUAUUUCUUAAAAAACU
Molecule: ribosomal RNA, 868 nt
Filed under: Cordulegaster boltonii (golden-ringed dragonfly)
Lineage: Eukaryota; Metazoa; Arthropoda; Insecta; Odonata; Cordulegastridae
Description: partial large subunit ribosomal RNA
Source: RNAcentral